Molecule: unclassified non-coding RNA, 273 nt
Filed under: Malassezia restricta
Lineage: Eukaryota; Fungi; Basidiomycota; Malasseziomycetes; Malasseziales; Malasseziaceae
Also listed under: 1 other name
Description: partial internal transcribed spacer 2
Source: RNAcentral
AAUCUCCCACCCCAAGCGGUUUUUAAAUGAAACGGCUUGGCGGAUGGGGUCUGGAUGGGUGCCUCUGCCUGCGCUACCUAGCACAGGCUCGCCCGAAAUGCAUGAGCGCCUGAGACACUUUGCAUCCGCCUCUCUGUUUGGGAGGAGGCGGCCAAGCAGUGUUUUUCUCCUGGCAUGGCAUGAUACGUCAUUUGCUAUGUCGCCUAAAGGAGGAAUGUUUGGUUGUGUCUGCGUGUGCUUCGAACUUGCCUCUGUGGCACAUCCCAAUUUCAC